RNAcentral lists this unclassified non-coding RNA (200 nucleotides) under fungal sp. RNAcentral describes it as "partial internal transcribed spacer region". The stretch from base 1 to 46 matches the Rfam family "Eukaryotic small subunit ribosomal RNA", at positions 1786 to 1831 of the family's 1831-position model. The record is from RNAcentral. Lineage: Eukaryota; Fungi.
AAGUCGUAACAAGGUAUCCGUAGGUGAACCUGCGGAUGGAUCAUUACCAAAGGAAGAAUUCCUGACGUUGUGUGAAUUGUAUAGAGGACUGUGGUCGGCCGAAGCCGGCGGCACACGGACGUACUUGCUGUGACUACUGAAGUCUGUUGACUUGCAUAGUAAUGUAAGGACAACUUUUAGCAACGGAUCUCUUGGCUCUC